GCAUUUCAGCUGGAGCAUCAACUGCAGAUGUUUUCGAACCACUUCUAAGUGCUUUGGGUCUAAAAACACCGGAACGAGCAACACCUCGACCUACAACUGAAGAAAAUUGGGCAUUACUUCUAAAAGGUUAUGGAAAGGUGCUAUGUUCGAAAGCUAUUCGGGGUAUUCGUUUCACGUGCUCCGUUCCGCCUCUUCGGGAAAUAUACUUCAAUCACGGAUGUGAUUACUGGAUGGAAAUGAAAAAAGAGAGGUGCGGCACUAGUUAGAGGCAUAUCAAGAAUUGGUUCUGAUGCAGCUUCAUAAUGCAUGUAUUCCCUCUCCCCUUUCACCGUUUCAGAACAUCGCCUUUAUUCUGCUCACGCUGAGUUGCAAAACUUUCAUUGCAGAAUAAUCUGAUUUCUUUUUCGGUUUUCCUUGUUUGCAUCUUAUUCAGUAGAUUCCUUCACUAUGCAAUUACUUCGAAGCCAAGUAGUUGCAAAGGAAGUCCUAGAAGAUGGCUCCACCCUUCCAUCCAUUCACGAUGUAUUUCCUUGCACCGUUCCAGAAGCUUCUAUUCGCUCUGCAUUUGUCUAGUUCAACACCCUUCUUUUGCAGAAAAUAUCUGAUUUCUAUUAAAGGUUA
Long non-coding RNA from Sycon ciliatum, 621 nucleotides. RefSeq lists it as uncharacterized. NCBI's taxonomy places the organism in Eukaryota, Metazoa, Porifera, Calcarea, Leucosolenida, Sycettidae. The transcript has 5 exons. The record is from RefSeq and is a predicted model, not a curated record.